ACACUUUCACACUUUCAUAUUUGGCUCAUUGGCUGUGGCAACGCUGACCUCAACCUGUCGUCCUGUCGCUCAGGAUACUUUUUCUAUUAAAUUCAACAAUUUGAUCAUCAUAUUUUCUUUUUUUUUUUUUUUUGUUUAUCGAGCCACGUGUAUAACAAAAAUGGCUAAUAAUUUUUGCUGUUCGAAUAGUUAUCGACGUGUGACAAUCUUUUGUGCUGUAGCGCUGUUGUUUGAAUUCUUGUGGUAUCUUUUUAAUUUUACUAAAAAGGAGUCAACUUUUUAUACUGUUUCAUCAGAAAACGGUAUAGACACCAAGACCCUCAUUGACACUUCACCACAAGUAAUGGAUUAUAUUUUCGCAGUAAUUCUACCUGUCGUUAUUUUGGUUAUGUUGUUUAGUGCUAUUUUUAAAAAGUCAGAAAUCUUAUUUUAUGCAAUGAUCACGUACAUAAUUUUGUGGACCUUAUUGAUUGUGUAUUCAUCUUUGGGAGAACAAAAGGGAUGGUUUUUCUGGUGUAAAUUUCCUCCUACUUUGUUGAGUGGAUCAAAACAAAAAAUAAUUUCUAGAAAGUCACAAUUUUCUUCACCUUUUUACGCUGUGGUCGAAAAUAUAUAUAGAGUGAUUUUCUUGUUGUUGAUGUAUGAGUAUAUUCGAGAACUCCGACGUGGCUAUUCAACAUCAGGCCAAGUCAUCAGUGUAUAAUAUGGAUACAUAGGAGAUAUGCUCAAAUUAAAAUACGAGAAAUGGCUCAAGGUGGUAUCUGUUAUUUAAUUCAGUAUGAGGAUAAAAAGGAUAAUGUAUCUAAUGAUAAACUGGAAAUAUAUAUUACAAAGUAGUAUUUCCAUAUAGAUUAACAAAUUUAUCCAUGUGAUUUUUUCCAUGUGAAUCAUAUCAAUUAAGAAUUUUUAUUUUUACAAUACCCAGAUAAAUUUCCUGUUGUAAAAUGAAAUAAAAAGUGAUAAAAUAUAGUCACAAACACAAUUUAAUGUCGUAUCUGUAAACUAUUAGCUUAAAAAUUUAAUUUUAUAAAAAAUGGAUGUAUCACUGAUGCCAUCUCAGGGUUAAAGUCAAAUAGCAACUACAUUCAUGAUAAUUUGUGUAAAAAAAUACAGUUUUCUAUAAAUUUGUU
Molecule: long non-coding RNA, 1130 nt
Organism: Aphidius gifuensis
Lineage: Eukaryota; Metazoa; Arthropoda; Insecta; Hymenoptera; Braconidae
Exons: 4
Source: RefSeq, a predicted model, not a curated record